This 164-nucleotide small nuclear RNA is filed under the name Castor canadensis (American beaver). Its description in RNAcentral is "U1 spliceosomal RNA (ENSCCNG00000005848.1)". It matches the Rfam family "U1 spliceosomal RNA". From Rfam's summary of the family: U1 is a small nuclear RNA (snRNA) component of the spliceosome (involved in pre-mRNA splicing). Its 5' end forms complementary base pairs with the 5' splice junction, thus defining the 5' donor site of an intron. The record is from Rfam by way of RNAcentral. Lineage: Eukaryota; Metazoa; Chordata; Mammalia; Rodentia; Castoridae.
AUACUUAUCUAGCAAGGAAAAUACCAUGAUCAUGAAGGUGGUUUUCCCAGGGCGAGGCUUAUCCAUUGCAUUCCAGAUAUUCUGAGCCCUGCAAUUUCCCCAAAUCUGAGACACUUGACUACAUAAUUUUUGGUAGUGGGGAACUGUGUUCACACUUUCCCCUG